Molecule: small RNA, 28 nt
Filed under: Bombyx mori (domestic silkworm)
Lineage: Eukaryota; Metazoa; Arthropoda; Insecta; Lepidoptera; Bombycidae
Description: ovarian small RNA-22307
Source: RNAcentral
UAGCAUGUGUCGGAAAUGUUGUAUUCAC